AAGCGUAAUAGCUCACUGGUCGAGUCGGCCUGCGCGGAAGAUGUAACGGGGCUAAACCAUGCACCGAAGCUGCGGCAGCGAACGUAUCACUUAAAGCGAUUCAGCGGGUUACGAUUGACGGAGCGAAGCGACGUCAAAGCGUAUACAAAGUCGAGUCGGUUUAAGGAUACGUUCGUUGGGUAGGGGAGCGUUCUGUAAGCCUGCGAAGGUGGCCUGUGAGGGUUGCUGGAGGUAUCAGAAGUGCGA
RNAcentral lists this ribosomal RNA (246 nucleotides) under Salmonella enterica subsp. enterica serovar Newport. RNAcentral describes it as "partial 23S ribosomal RNA". It matches the Rfam family "Bacterial large subunit ribosomal RNA", at positions 1130 to 1293 of the family's 2925-position model. The record is from RNAcentral. Lineage: Bacteria; Pseudomonadati; Pseudomonadota; Gammaproteobacteria; Enterobacterales; Enterobacteriaceae.